This 601-nucleotide ribosomal RNA is filed under the name uncultured bacterium. RNAcentral describes it as "bacterial SSU rRNA". It matches the Rfam family "Bacterial small subunit ribosomal RNA", at positions 66 to 652 of the family's 1533-position model. The record is from RNAcentral.
GCUUUUUACUUUAGCUUGCUAGAGUUUAACGAGUUGCGAACGGGUGAGUAACGCGUACGUAACCUACCUACUAGCGGGGGAUAACUAUUGGAAACGAUAGCUAAUACCGCGUAAAAGUUUUUAACACAUGUUAGAAGCUUGAAAGAUGCAAAUGCAUCACUAGUAGAUGGACCUGCGUUGUAUUAGCUAGUUGGUGGGGUAAAGGCCUACCAAGGCGACGAUACAUACCCCACCUGAGAGGGUGAACGGCCACACUGGGACUGAGACACGGCCCAUACUCCUACGGGAGGCAUCCCUACGGAAUCUUCGGGAAUGGGGGCAACCCUGACCGAACUACGCCACGUGAGUGAAGAAGGUUUUCGGAUCGUAAAUCUCUGUUGUAAGAGAAGAACGUGUGUGAGAGUGGAAAGUUCACACAGUGACGGUAACUUACCAUAAAGGGACGGCUAACUACGUGCCAGCAACCGCGGUAAUACUGACGUCCCGAGCGUUGUCCGGAUUUAUUGGGCGUAAAUCGAGCGCAGGCGGUUUAAUAAGUCUGAAGUUCAAGGCAUUGGCUUAACCAUUGUUCGCUUUGGAAACUGCUAAACUUGAAUGCAUA